Long non-coding RNA from Ostrea edulis (European flat oyster), 1689 nucleotides. RefSeq lists it as uncharacterized. The transcript is spliced from 3 exons. The record is from RefSeq and is a predicted model, not a curated record. Lineage: Eukaryota; Metazoa; Mollusca; Bivalvia; Ostreida; Ostreidae.
GGGGAUCCCACCGAACAAUGAUGGAGGAUACAUUGUCGGAUGUAGCUGAUUCAGCAAUGACGUUGGUUGGAGGUGCAGGUGCUCAUGGGCACAUUACUCGCGGUAACGAGGUGUCACGCAUUUUGUCCGAGCACGACUUGACGAGCUGAAGAUCACGAAUCGUUUGUGUAAAAGAUGUCAUCAAUGAAUGCGGUCCUUGCACGACUCUUGUCGGUGUGGGAAGAUGGGACGACACAUCAUCUAAUGCUUUUAUGAUUGUUGAUGUCUCUAUCUUGUACUGAAAACUGAAAAGCUGAAAGGUACAUUGUUUUCUAAGAACUAAUGUAAUAUGAUAAGAAGAAGAGAAAGAAAUAGAAGGGAGGAGAAAGCCUUAAACGGACUGAUCCUCGAAUUUCUCAAAUGUUUUGUUUUUUGCAUCUGAUUAUUAGAAUUUACUGUCUAAUGUGUUUCAAAAGUUUCACAAAAACAUAAGGUUACAUAUCAUGACAGAAACUCAUUAUAGAGAGUUUAUUAUUAAUUUUGUGUGUAAACAACGUUUGAGGUUUGAAAUUGUUGGCACAGUUUAAAAUUUGUGGUUUUAAUGAUAUAUAUCACAUUUCAAGUAUCCUUUAGGUAAAUUGUGCCAUUUAAAAGUUAAAUUUGUGUUUGUGCAAAGUUAGGAUGCUUUAAAUUUCAUUAGUUUGUAUACAUGCAUAAGGCCUGUGUCUUGUUUACGUAACAGAGUUAGGGCUAAAAUAUUGCUCUUUAGAAGGUCCAAAUCUUGGUUGUCAAUUUUAACUGAUUAAUAAUUUUAAUGUUUGAUAUCAAAAAUGAAAAAAAAGAAGUUUAUAUUAAAAAUGUUAAUCAUCCCAUUAAAGUAUUUUCGUUUGUAUAAGUUCUUGCCUGGGCAUUAGAUCAUUUUAUCGACUUUAUGGUAAGAGAGGUUCAACAUCUUGACCCAGAAAGAUCAGUGAAAUUCGCCACUAGGGUCUAAUUUUCCAGGAUGCUAUGCACUCUUAAUAUUAAACUGAACAUGUGUUUUAUAGAAUUGUCCGUAUACGUCCCCAGAUCGUUAGGAAAUCUCCAAAUCGAUAGAAAAUCCCGCAUUUUACGUAAUGAUGCCCAAGAAGAUUUGCAUAUAAACACAGAAUGUACAGUGUAACGGUGAACAAACGCUGAAGGAUUUGGGAACGAACGCUUUUGAUUCUGGUGGGUGAUCGAAUGCUGGACGGUUCUUGGUGAGACCGAAACGAUGAGAGAGAGAGAGAGAGAGAGAGAGAGAGAGAUCUCAAAUCGACAUAUGCAAAUCACGAAUGAAUGACUGAAUCAUGAAUGAAAAUCAAUAUUUUUAAUUCAAACAUAUUUUAUUGAGAAACUCAACAGGAUUGGGCAACAGGCAGAGCCUAUGUAGGCCCUCUCCCAAAUACAAAAGUCAAGUACAAAGGUAUGAUAUAAAGGUAUAAAGAGGAUUUUUAAAGAUUUAACAAUAUUGUAAUAAGGUUUACAUGAAAAUAGUUAAUAAGAGUUUUGUUGAAUUUUGCUAUGAAUUGAUUUUUUAUAGAUCAACAUGUUCUACACAUACUUACAUAACCCUCCACCUAGAGUCACACACAUACAUAAAUACAUAUAAUAUAGAUCAAUACUAAGGUAGAUCAAUCCAGCCCGUUAGAAGAAAAAUGAAAAUAAAUAAUUUGUAAAGAAAAAAUAUUU